UCGGGACCAGAGAUUUAUCGGCAUUGGAGCGGCCUAUCUCCUAUCAGCUUGUUGGUGAGGUAACGGCUCACCAAGGCAACGACGGGUAGCGGGACUGAGAGGUUGGCCCGCCACAUCGGGACUGAGACACUGGCGCGGACCUCCACGGAGGGCUGCAGUAACGGAUAUUGGGCAAUGGGCGAAAGCCUGACCCAGCAAUGCCGCGUGCAGGAUGAAGCCCCUAGGGGUGUAAACUGCUGUCAGGGGUCAGAAAGCUGGUUUCGGCCAGUUGAUCAACCCCAGAGGAAGUCACGGCUAACUUCGUGCCAGCAGCCGCGGUAAUACGAAGGUGGCAAGCGUUAUUCGGAAUCAUUGGGCUUAAAGGGCACGCAGGCGGAACAGUGUGUGUUGUGUGAAAUCCCCCGGCUUAACCGGGGAAUUGCACAGCAAACUGCUGUUCUUGAGGCAGGUAGGGGUGCAUGGAACUCUUGGUGGAGCGGUGGAAUGCGUAGAUAUCAAGAGGAACGCCAGAGGUGAAGACGGUGCACUGGGCCUGUCCUGACGCUGAGGUGCGAAAGCGUGGGGAGCGAACGGGAUUAGAUACCCCGGUAGUCCACGCCGUAAACGAUGUCUACUAGGUCGUGGGUGUUCUGACACAUUCACGGCCGGAGCAAAAGUGUUUAGUAGACCGCCUGGGGAGUACGGCCGCAAGGUUAAAACUCAAAUGAAUUGACGGGGGCUCACACAAGCGGUGGAGCAUGUGGAUUAAUUCGAAGCAACGCGCAGAACCUUACCUGGGUUUGACAUGCUUGUAUGCCUUCUCUGAAAGGAGUUAGGUUGCCUUCGGGUGAAACUUGCACAGGUGCUGCAUGGCUGUCGUCAGCUCGUGUCGUGAGAUGUCGGGUUAAGUCCUUUAACGAGCGAAACCCUUGCCGUUAGUUGCCAGCGAGUAAUGUCGGGGACUCUAACGGGACUGCCGGUGUUAAACCGGAGGAAGGUGGGGAUGACGUCAAGUCCUCAUGGCCUUUAUGCCCAGGGCUUCACACGUGCUACAAUGGCAAUUACAGAGCGACGCGAUACCGCGAGGUGGAGCAAAUCGCAAAAAAAUUGCCUCAGUUCGGAUUGCAGGCUGGCAAUUCGCCUGCAUGAAGUCGGAAUCG
RNAcentral lists this ribosomal RNA (1139 nucleotides) under uncultured organism. RNAcentral's name for it is "bacterial SSU rRNA". It matches the Rfam family "Bacterial small subunit ribosomal RNA", at positions 195 to 1334 of the family's 1533-position model. The record is from RNAcentral.